GCCGGCUUAGCUCAAUUGGUAGAGCAACUGACUUGUAAUCAGUAGGUUGUCAGUUCAAGUCCGACAGUCGGCACCA
Molecule: transfer RNA, 76 nt
Filed under: Wolbachia endosymbiont of Pentalonia nigronervosa
Lineage: Bacteria; Pseudomonadati; Pseudomonadota; Alphaproteobacteria; Rickettsiales; Anaplasmataceae
Description: tRNA-Thr
Rfam family: tRNA
About the family: Transfer RNA (tRNA) molecules are approximately 80 nucleotides in length. Their secondary structure includes four short double-helical elements and three loops (D, anti-codon, and T loops). Further hydrogen bonds mediate the characteristic L-shaped molecular structure. tRNAs have two regions of fundamental functional importance: the anti-codon, which is responsible for specific mRNA codon recognition, and the 3' end, to which the tRNAs corresponding amino acid is attached (by aminoacyl-tRNA synthetases). tRNAs cope with the degeneracy of the genetic code in two manners: having more than one tRNA (with a specific anti-codon) for a particular amino acid; and 'wobble' base-pairing, i.e. permitting non-standard base-pairing at the 3rd anti-codon position.
Source: RNAcentral